This 465-nucleotide ribosomal RNA is filed under the name uncultured bacterium. RNAcentral's name for it is "partial 16S ribosomal RNA". It matches the Rfam family "Bacterial small subunit ribosomal RNA", at positions 28 to 507 of the family's 1533-position model. The record is from RNAcentral.
GAUGAACGCUGGCGGCGUGCUUAACACAUGCAAGUCGAACGGAAAGGCUCCUGCUUGCAGGGGUACUCGAGUGGCGAACGGGUGAGUAACACGUGGGUGAUCUGCCCUGCACUUCGGGAUAAGCCUGGGAAACUGGGUCUAAUACCGGAUAGGACGAUGGUUUGGAUGCCAUUGUGGAAAGUUUUUCGGUGUGGGAUGAGCUCGCGGCCUAUCAGCUUGUUGGUGGGGUAAUGGCCUACCAAGGCGUCGACGGGUAGCCGGCCUGAGAGGGUGUACGGCCACAUUGGGACUGCGAUACGGCCCAGACUCCUACGUGAGGCAGCAGUGGGGAACAUUGCACAAUGGGCGCAAGCCUGAUGCAGCGACGCCGCGUGGGGGAUGACGGCCUUCGGGUUGUAAACUCCUUUCGCUAGGGACGAAGCGCAAGUGACGGUACCUGGAGAAGAAGCACCGGCUAACUACGUG